UGUUAGUCAGUAAUCGAGAUGUUUUGUCUUAGUUGUGUUUGUCUUAUAUAAAUAUAUUAAAAACAGAUUAAUUAUCCUUUAUAAAAUCUGUAGAACAAAUAUUGAUAGGACAACAUUUAUGCUGUUUCAAAUCAAAAUUUUAAUUGGUUUUGCGUCUAUAAACUCAAUAUAAAUAAUAAUCCUAUAUUCAAAUAGUUUUAAACGGCUUCGAAUAUUAUUAAUAUAAAUUAAUUGGAUUCACCUUUUCAGAACAGUCUAAAGUUGAAAAACGUGACAUGACACGGUCUAACAAACGAUUUUCUAACUUAAAUUAAUAUGACUGAAACCUUAUUCUGCCUGAAUUAAUAUGGCAUAUUUUCUUUUGUAAGCAAACAAGUGAACAUCAAUUUACGUAAUUUAACUUAUCUUUUAAAAUUGUAAUGACUGUAGCAAGUUUUGCCGUAAGAAGAAUACAAAUGGCAUUGCAAAUCUUUUUUAUCUAGACAUUUCAAGCUCACAACCUCGACACCUACGCAUAUAUAUUAAAGUCAUAAUCAAAGAUGAUCGUAUUAUGAUAAUAAAAACUAUUUAUCAUCGGCAGAAACUUGUUCCUGGAGGCCAAAGCAUGUUGAAUCGAAUACUUUUAAGCGAUCAUCUCGCACACCAUUUGAAGCGUCUGUUCCGAAAUGAGGUACACUAUUUGUUUUUUGUUGACGUUAUUUAUAACCACUACUAUUUGUUACGAACCAGACGAUGAUAACGAAGAGUUUGAUGUAUUUUACGAAGAAUUAGAGAGAGAAGAACAAAGUAAAAAGCCAAUAAUAUACGAUUUAAAGGACGCGAAAAAUUUAUUUGAGAAAUACAUUAAGGAUUUUAAUAAAUCGUAUAAUGAUGCUAAGGAAUACAAGGAACAUUACAAAAACUUCGUUGAUAAUCUCAAAUAUAUAAAUGAAGUGAACUCGUCGGGAAGAUCGUCUAUAGCGGGACUUAAUUCGUUAUCCGACAGUAAUGCGGAGGAAGAAGUUGAAGGAUUUAUGUAAAAGCAAUACUCUCUGGGAUGAAGAAAAUAUACGUAAAACCAAGAAUAAACUUGAAAUGAUCUGUACUGGACAAAACUAUAAACGAAAUUAAACUAUAUUGAUCA
Molecule: long non-coding RNA, 1123 nt
Organism: Pieris napi
Lineage: Eukaryota; Metazoa; Arthropoda; Insecta; Lepidoptera; Pieridae
Exons: 2
Source: RefSeq, a predicted model, not a curated record